AGAGUUUGAUCAUGGCUCAGGACGAACGCUGGCGGCGUGGAUUAGGCAUGCAAGUCGAACGGUAUGGUGCUUUCGGGCAUCAGAGAGUGGCGAACGGGUGAGUAACACGUAGGUGAUCUACCCUCAAGACGGGGACAACCCAGGGAAACUUGGGCUAAUACCGGAUGAUAGCAGCAGUGAUGUUGUUUAAAAGAUGGCUUUCGGGCUGUCGUUUGGGGAUGAGCCUGCGUCCUAUUAGCUAGUUGGUGUGGUAAAGGCACACCAAGGCGAUGAUAGGUAGGCGGCCUUAACGGGUGGUCGCCCACACUGGGAUUGAGAUACGGCCCAGACUCCUACGGGAGGCAGCAGUCGAGAAUAGUCUACAAUGGUCGGAAGACUGAUAGUGCGACGCCGCAUGAACGAGGAAGCCCUUCGGGGUGUAAAGUUCUUUUAUAUGUGAGCAGUGGGUUCUACGUUAAUAGCGUGGGAUCAGGGAUAUUAGCAUAUGAAUAAGCAACGGCUAACUCCGUGCCAGCAGCCGCGGUAACACGGGGGUUGCGAGCGUUGUCCGGAAUUACUAGGCGUAAAGGGCAGGUAGGCGGAUCUAUAAGUUUUUUGUCAAAUUCAACGGCUCACCCGUUGCUCGGCAGGAGAUACUGUAGAUCUGGAAUGCGGUUGGGGGAGACAGAAUUCCUGGUGUAGCGGUGGAAUGCGCAGAGAUCAGGAGGAAUACCUAAGGCGAAGGCAGUCUUCUAAGCCGUAAUUGACGCUAAACUGCGAAGGUGUGGGUAUCAAACAGGAUUAGAUACCCUGGUAGUCCACACAGUAAACGAUAAUCACUGGGUGUCGGGUUCGUAGAGGAUUCGGUGCCGUAGCUAACGCGAUAAGUGAUUCGCCUGGGGAGUACGAUCGCAAGGUUGAAACUCAAAUGAAUUGACGG
RNAcentral lists this ribosomal RNA (919 nucleotides) under uncultured bacterium. Its description in RNAcentral is "bacterial SSU rRNA". It matches the Rfam family "Bacterial small subunit ribosomal RNA", at positions 8 to 916 of the family's 1533-position model. The record is from RNAcentral.